RNAcentral lists this ribosomal RNA (429 nucleotides) under Chloroflexota bacterium. Its description in RNAcentral is "Chloroflexi bacterium partial 16S ribosomal RNA". It matches the Rfam family "Bacterial small subunit ribosomal RNA", at positions 355 to 776 of the family's 1533-position model. The record is from RNAcentral. Lineage: Bacteria; Bacillati; Chloroflexota.
UGGGGAAUAUUGCACAAUGGGCGCAAGCCUGAUGCAGCCAUGCCGCGUGUAUGAAGAAGGCCUUCGGGUUGUAAAGUACUUUCAGCGGGGAGGAAGGGAGUAAAGUUAAUACCUUUGCUCAUUGACGUUACCCGCAGAAGAAGCACCGGCUAACUCCGUGCCAGCAGCCGCGGUAAUACGGAGGGUGCAAGCGUUAAUCGGAAUUACUGGGCGUAAAGCGCACGCAGGCGGUUUGUUAAGUCAGAUGUGAAAUCCCCGGGCUCAACCUGGGAACUGCAUCUGAUACUGGCAAGCUUGAGUCUCGUAGAGGGGGGUAGAAUUCCAGGUGUAGCGGUGAAAUGCAUAGAGAUCUGGAGGAAUACCGGUGGCGAAGGCGGCCCCCUGGACGAAGACUGACGCUCAGGUGCGAAAGCGUGGGGAGCAAACAGG